Molecule: long non-coding RNA, 312 nt
Filed under: Brassica napus (rape)
Lineage: Eukaryota; Viridiplantae; Streptophyta; Magnoliopsida; Brassicales; Brassicaceae
Description: long non-coding RNA (BNAP_LNC009558)
Source: RNAcentral
CGAGGAGGAGGAGGAGGAAAUUGUAAAUACUAUAUUAUGAUUAUAAAAUAGAAUAGAACAUAUUAUACAAAAUUAUUGUUUAUCUUCCUCGAUUCUAUGCAUUGUCUGAUUCUUCAUCUUAAAGAUUAGUGUUAAAUUUAUUCGUUUUCAAUGGAAUCGGUUCCCUUUCAACAGUUGAAGGUAACUAUAUCGGUGCCGAGACCCUGACACUCCUGCUCGAACUUCUUCAUGUAAACUAAAUACUUUGCCGGUUCUUUCUGGUGUGCUGGCUCCAUAAUUAUUUGUGGGCUAUAAACAUGAGCCCAGGUUUUU